UUGAGUUAUUCCCAGUUGGCCUACACAGCUAGUGUUCUCUCACCGUGAUCUUGGCUUGUUUUGUCAUUUUUGGAUGAGAAAAUACAGUCCACAAAUUUCUCAUUUGUAAUAGUUUAUCUUGGGGAACAAAGAGAGGGGUAGCCAGUGGUCUUGUGGGUCAUCUCUUUGCUCAUGUAGUGUCGAUGAUAGGAAAAAGCAGACCUUUUGUGUCUAUGUGAUUUGAGGACAGACCUCGAACAAUACAAAUUAAGGUGACUCUGGAUUUGAACAUGCGGAUGAUUAGGCGGAAUUGGAGAUCUUACCCUCUUGUUUGCAGUGGACAUUAUUGUGUUUAGGGGUGGCCUGUCAAUUGCUUGGAAGUGAACCUCCCCGGUGCUACCAAAGAAAGUGGGGUUCUUUCCCCGUCGAUGUAGCUGAGAGUCCGGGCAGCCUGGGCUUGCUCCUCAGUGUCAGUGAAGUUAAGAUUGCCUCAGUGGGGCGGGGCCGGACAUGCUGCUGACCUCACCACUGGGCACCCCAGGCGGCCACGGUGAGGGCUCGUCAUUUUCGGGUUGGUGAGACACAGCGGCGGUCGACCUGGAAGACGCGCUGGUGGUAGAGGGAAACUAUGGUGGUGAAGGUAGUUAGAAUGAAAGGAAAGCUGGAUUCAGGAAAAUGAUCGUUUACCUGUGUUGGAAAGGAUAAUCUACUGCCACCUGCCUCCUCCUUAAAGACCUCUGUGCCUUUAAAACUUUUAUUAUAAGAAUUUUCAAAUAUGCAGAAAAAUAAGAAAGGGGAUAAAGAGCACCGUAUA
Lontra canadensis (Northern American river otter) is the source of this 793-nucleotide long non-coding RNA. RefSeq lists it as uncharacterized. The transcript has 3 exons. The record is from RefSeq and is a predicted model, not a curated record. Lineage: Eukaryota; Metazoa; Chordata; Mammalia; Carnivora; Mustelidae.